UGUGGGAGCGAGCCUGCUCGCGAUGACGGCGGCACAUUCAGCGUCACUGCAAGCUGAUCCACCGCUAUCGCGAGCAGGCUCGCUCCCACA
RNAcentral lists this unclassified non-coding RNA (90 nucleotides) under Pseudomonas thivervalensis. Lineage: Bacteria; Pseudomonadati; Pseudomonadota; Gammaproteobacteria; Pseudomonadales; Pseudomonadaceae. The record is from RNAcentral.